UGGGGAAUAUUGCACAAUGGGCGCAAGCCUGAUGCAGCCAUGCCGCGUGUGUGAAGAAGGCCUUCGGGUUGUAAAGCACUUUCAGCGAGGAGGAAGGUGGUGAGCUUAAUACGCUCAUCAAUUGACGUUACUCGCAGAAGAAGCACCGGCUAACUCCGUGCCAGCAGCCGCGGUAAUACGGAGGGUGCAAGCGUUAAUCGGAAUUACUGGGCGUAAAGCGCACGCAGGCGGUUUGUUAAGUCAGAUGUGAAAAUCCCCGGGCUCAACCUGGGAACUGCAUUUGAAACUGGCAAGCUAGAGUCUCGUAGAGGGGGGUAGAAUUCCAGGUGUAGCGGUGAAAUGCGUAGAGAUCUGGAGGAAUACCGGUGGCGAAGGCGGCCCCCUGGACGAAGACUGACGCUCAGGUGCGAAAGCGUGGGGCAGCAAACAGGAUUAGAUACCCUGGUAGUCCACGCUGUAAACGAUGUCGAUUUGGAGGUUGUGCCCUUGAGGCGUGGCUUCCGGAGCUAACGCGUUAAAUCGACCGCCUGGGGAGUACGGCCGCAAGGUUAAAACUUAAAUGAAUUG
This 567-nucleotide ribosomal RNA is filed under the name uncultured bacterium. RNAcentral describes it as "partial 16S ribosomal RNA". It matches the Rfam family "Bacterial small subunit ribosomal RNA", at positions 355 to 912 of the family's 1533-position model. The record is from RNAcentral.